GGGAAWGCAGCCCUAAGUGGGUGGUAAAUUCCAUCCAAGGCUAAAUACGGGCMAGAGMCCGWWAGCGAACAAGUCCCGCGAGGGAAAGAUGAAAAGGRCUUUGAAAAGAGAGUUAAAGAGUGCUUGAAAUUNCUGGGAGGGAAGCGAAUGGAGGCUGCGGGUGCCUCCCGGUUGGAUGCGGAACGGCGCAAGCUGGUCCGCCGCUCAACGCGGGAUGCUGGUCAGCGUGGGCUAUCUCGGCGGGACAAGAGCUGGCUUUUGUUGCUUGCCUAUGCCGUUGAGAUGGCCGAGGAAUGAAGCGCGCGCCUUCGGGCGGCCCUCGGGACCUGCGCGCUCGGGACGCUGGCGUAUUGAGCUUUCCAUCCGGCCCGUCUUGAAACACGGACCAAGGAGUCUAACAUGUAUGCGAGCCGGUGGGUGGCAAACCCACAGAGGCGCAAGUAACCUGACAGGUGGGAUCCCCUCGCGGGGAGCACCAUCGACCGACCAUGAUCUUUUGUGAAAGGUUCGAGUAAGAGCAUACCUGAUGGGACCCGAAAGAUGGUGAACUAUGCCUGAGCAGGGCGAAGCCAGAGGAAACUCUGGUGGAGGCUCGUAGCGAUACUGACGUGCAAAUCGUUCGUCAGACUUGGGUAUAGGGGCGAAAGACUAAUCGAACCAUCUAGUAGCUGGUUCCCUCCGAAGUUUCCCUCAGGAUAGCUGGAGCUCAUGAAGUUUUAUCAGGUAAAGCGAAUGAUUAGAGGCAUCGGGGGUGAAACACCCYYGCCCNRUUCUCAAMMWKKAAAUAGGUAAGAUGC
This 797-nucleotide ribosomal RNA is filed under the name Trichocoleopsis sacculata. Its description in RNAcentral is "partial 26S large subunit ribosomal RNA". It matches the Rfam family "Eukaryotic large subunit ribosomal RNA", at positions 276 to 1081 of the family's 3401-position model. Lineage: Eukaryota; Viridiplantae; Streptophyta; Jungermanniopsida; Ptilidiales; Neotrichocoleaceae. The record is from RNAcentral.